RNAcentral lists this ribosomal RNA (253 nucleotides) under uncultured bacterium. RNAcentral's name for it is "partial 16S ribosomal RNA". It matches the Rfam family "Bacterial small subunit ribosomal RNA", at positions 524 to 776 of the family's 1533-position model. The record is from RNAcentral.
UACGUAGGCAGCAAGCGUUGUUCGGAGUUACUGGGCGUAAAGGGUGUGUAGGCGGUUCGUUAAGUUUGGUGUGAAAUCUCCCGGCUCAACCGGGAGGGUGCGCCGAAUACUGAGGGACUAGAGUGCGGGAGAGGAAAGUGGAAUUCCUGGUGUAGCGGUGAAAUGCGUAGAUAUCAGGAGGAACACCGGUGGUGUAGACGGCUUUCUGGACCGUAACUGACGCUGAGGCGCGAAAGCGUGGGGAGCAAACAGG